Molecule: ribosomal RNA, 254 nt
Filed under: uncultured bacterium
Lineage: Bacteria
Description: partial 16S ribosomal RNA
Rfam family: Bacterial small subunit ribosomal RNA
Source: RNAcentral
UACAGAGGGUGCGAGCGUUAAUCGGAAUUACUGGGCGUAAAGGGCUCGUAGGCGGCCAACUAAGUCGGAUGUGAAAUCCCCAGGCUUAACCUGGGAACUGCAUCCGAUACUGGAUGGCUUGAAUCCGGGAGAGGGAUGCAGAAUUCCAGGUGUAGCGGUGAAAUGCGUAGAUAUCUGGAGGAAUACCGGUGGCGAAGGCGGCAUCCUGGACCGGCAUUGACGCUGAGUGAGCGAAAGCCAGGGGAGCAAACGGG